RNAcentral lists this microRNA (21 nucleotides) under Caenorhabditis elegans. Its description in RNAcentral is "cel-lsy-6-5p". Its record names the gene cel-lsy-6-5p. Lineage: Eukaryota; Metazoa; Nematoda; Chromadorea; Rhabditida; Rhabditidae. The record is from miRBase by way of RNAcentral.
AAAUGCGUCUAGUAUCAAAAU